This is a non-coding RNA of Rattus norvegicus (Norway rat), 63 nucleotides long. The record is from Rfam. Lineage: Eukaryota; Metazoa; Chordata; Mammalia; Rodentia; Muridae.
GGGGAUUUAGCUCAGUGGUAGAGCGCUUGCCUAGGAAGCGCAAGGCCCUGGGUUCAGUCCCCG